Molecule: ribosomal RNA, 325 nt
Filed under: uncultured bacterium
Lineage: Bacteria
Description: bacterial SSU rRNA
Rfam family: Bacterial small subunit ribosomal RNA
Source: RNAcentral
GAUGAACGCUGGCGGCGUGCUUAACACAUGCAAGUCGAACGGAGUGCCCUUGAAGGAGUUUUCGGACAACAGAUAGGGUUACUUAGUGGCGGACGGGUGAGUAACGCGUGAGUAACCUGCCUUGGAGUGGGGAAUAACAAUUGGAAACAACUGCUAAUACCGCAUGAUGCAGUUGGGUCGCAUGGCUCUGACUGCCAAAGAUUUAUCGCUCUGAGAUGGACUCGCGUCUGAUUAGCUAGUUGGUGAGGUAACGGCUCACCAAGGCGACGAUCAGUAGCCGGACUGAGAGGUUGGCCGGCCACAUUGGGACUGAGACACGGCCCAG